AGUGAACGCUGGCGGUAGGCCUAACACAUGCAAGUCGAACGGCAGCACAGUAAGAGCUUGCUCUUACGGGUGGCGAGUGGCGGACGGGUGAGGAAUACAUCGGAAUCUACUUUUUCGUGGGGGAUAACGUAGGGAAACUUACGCUAAUACCGCAUACGACCUACGGGUGAAAGCAGGGGAUCUUCGGACCUUGCGCGAUUGAAUGAGCCGCUGUCGGAUUAGCUAGUUGGCGGGGUAAAUGCCCACCAAGGCGGCGAUCCGUAGCUGGUGUGAGAGGCUGGUCAGCGACACUGGAACUGGGACACGGUCCAGACUCCUAAGGGAGGCAGCAGUGGGGAAUAUUGGACAAUGGGGGCAAGCCUGAUCCAGCCAUAGCGCGUGGGUGAAGAAGGCCUUCGGGUUGUAAAGCCCUUUUGUUGGGAAAGAAAAGCAGCAGGUUAAUACCCCGCUGUUCUGACGGUACCCAAAGAAUAAGCACCGGCUAACUUCGUG
RNAcentral lists this ribosomal RNA (492 nucleotides) under uncultured bacterium. Its description in RNAcentral is "partial 16S ribosomal RNA". It matches the Rfam family "Bacterial small subunit ribosomal RNA", at positions 29 to 507 of the family's 1533-position model. The record is from RNAcentral.